This 278-nucleotide long non-coding RNA is filed under the name Lathyrus oleraceus (garden pea). RNAcentral's name for it is "Pisum sativum (pea) long non-coding RNA (PSAT_LNC014652)". Lineage: Eukaryota; Viridiplantae; Streptophyta; Magnoliopsida; Fabales; Fabaceae. The record is from RNAcentral.
AAAAUAUAUGACAUCAAGUAUAAACCUUCAGCCAUAUAAUACUUAUAUUCAUAUUCCAAAACACAAUUUAUUUUUGUACAUGUUUCAUACACUUCAUAUCAAAACAUUAGAUGCAUAUUUGAAGACAAGAAAGCAUAAUAGUAUUUUGUUUGCAUAUAAUGAUUUACUAUUAAAUCACUUUUUCUUAAUGUCAAGGAGUCCCACAUGAGCAGGUAUUUGAUUUGUUGAAAAUUCAACUUUGUUAUUUUAUAUACCAUUAUUAAAUUAAAUUAUUAAAA